Molecule: ribosomal RNA, 630 nt
Filed under: Aspergillus flavipes
Lineage: Eukaryota; Fungi; Ascomycota; Eurotiomycetes; Eurotiales; Aspergillaceae
Also listed under: 3 other names
Description: eukaryotic LSU rRNA
Rfam family: Eukaryotic large subunit ribosomal RNA
Source: RNAcentral
CCUCGGAUCAGGUAGGGAUACCCGCUGAACUUAAGCAUAUCAAUAAGCGGAGGAAAAGAAACCAACCGGGAUUGCCUCAGUAACGGCGAGUGAAGCGGCAAGAGCUCAAAUUUGAAAGCUGGCCCCUCCGGGGUCCGCAUUGUAAUUUGCAGAGGAUGCUUCGGGUGCAGCCCCCGUCUAAGUGCCCUGGAAUGGGCCGUCAGAGAGGGUGAGAAUCCCGUCUGGGAUGGGGUGCCUGUGCCCGUGUGAAGCUCCUUCGACGAGUCGAGUUGUUUGGGAAUGCAGCUCUAAAUGGGUGGUAAAUUUCAUCUAAAGCUAAAUAUUGGCCGGAGACCGAUAGCGCACAAGUAGAGUGAUCGAAAGAUGAAAAGCACUUUGAAAAGAGAGUUAAACAGCACGUGAAAUUGUUGAAAGGGAAGCGCUUGCGACCAGACUCGCCUCCGGGGUUCAGCCGGCAUUCGUGCCGGUGUACUUCCCCGGGGGCGGGCCAGCGUCGGUUUGGGCGGCCGGUCAAAGGCCUCCGGAAUGUAGCGCCCUUCGGGGCGCCUUAUAGCCGGGGGUGCAAUGCGGCCAGCCUGGACCGAGGAACGCGCUUCGGCUCGGACGCUGGCAUAAUGGUCGUAAACGACC